Molecule: ribosomal RNA, 518 nt
Filed under: uncultured bacterium
Lineage: Bacteria
Description: bacterial SSU rRNA
Rfam family: Bacterial small subunit ribosomal RNA
Source: RNAcentral
AGAGUUUGAUCCUGGCUCAGAACGAACGCUGGCGGCGUGCUUAAGACAUGCAAGUCGUGCGAGAAAGCCGCCUUCGGGCGGUGAGUAAAGCGGCGCACGGGUGAGUAACGCGUGGGUAAUCUACCUAUAGGUCUGGGACAACUCCGGGAAACUGGGGCUAAUACCGGAUAAGACCACGGGGCCCUCGGGUCCUGCGGAAAAAGGUGGCCUCUUCUUGAAAGCUAUCGCCUACUGAUGAGUCCGCGUCCCAUUAGCUUGUUGGUGAGGUAAAGGCUCACCAAGGCUCCGAUGGGUAGCUGGUCUGAGAGGAUGAUCAGCCACACUGGAACUGAGACACGGUCCAGACUCCUGCGGGAGGCAGCAGUCGGGAAUUUUGGGCAAUGGGGGAAACCCUGACCCAGCAACGCCGCGUGAGGGAUGAAGGCCCUCGGGUCGUAAACCUCUGUCAGAAGGGAAGAAAGGUCUCCGUUCGAAUAAAGCGGGGGCUUGACGGUACCUUCAAAGAAGCACCGCUAACU